AGGCCCAGCGGAUACUACGAGCGGCUGAUCUGCUCCUGGCCAGGUGUGCCAAGGCCCAAACUGCCAGGGAAAUCCGGGAGGGUGUGGAGCACCUGCGGAGCCUCCUGGCCAGCCUCCCUUCCCUGCUUAUGGAAACAAGUGGGAAUACCACGGAGCAGCUCCAGGUCCUGUGCUGUGCCUGGGCCAGAGCCACCAACAGCCUCCUGUGCUGCUUUGAGGAGACCAUCGGCAUGAGGGAAUUCCUUGAGUUAUCCAUCCUGGAGCUGGCCAAGCAAAAGGAAUGGUGUGAAGUGGCACUGGAAUGCUGGGAUCCUGAGGGAUUCUCCUGGCACACUGCUCACCUCAUGGGCUGGGCGCGCUGGGUGGUCGGAGCCUCCACCCGGCACGUGGACAGGAUCACGGAUCCCAUCUUUAGAAAUGGUUUGCUGGUGUGGGUGGAGCAAUUGGCCAAAUCCAUCCUGGAGCUGGGAGCAGUCACGGCCCUCAUUCCAGGAAGGUUUUCCUGCCUCCAAAGCCAGGAUGCUUUUUCUCAGGCAGCAAGCUCCCUGAUGGACUCUGCUCUCUCUGUCCAAGCUGGGCUGGAUGGGUCCAACCACCCGGACAUCCUCAGCCCGCUCCGAGAGCAAGUGCGGAGCACCAAGGUGAAAAAGGGGCUGGAGUUCAGCCCAUCCCACACUGGGACACAAACCAGUAUGGAUGAGGCAGCAUUCCAAGAAGAUAUCCAAAAUCAUCCAUCUUCACCACCAGCUAACUUCCACCUGGAUCCAUGGAAAGGGGAUACACACCCUGUCAUCACAGCUCUCCUGGGAGCAUCCCGAGCUGGUGACACAGACACUGUCCGUGCUGCUUGCUCCAUCCUGCUGGAGCUCUCCAAUGGCUAUGUAGAAACUGCACAGGAAGCGCUGCCUGUGGCUGAAGCCCCCCAGCUCCAGGUGCUGGAGCAGCACUGGGAUAUCAAGGCACUUACCCCAAGGAUUGUCAGCCUGGCCAUGGAAACAGCCCACGGGCAGCUCCCUGCUCCAGGAAGGCUUCUCCUAAUGGCACUCAGGCUCUCAGGACAUAUCCAGGAGACUCAGGAGUGCCUGGCAGCUGUGGCAGGUUCUUGGAAUGGUCUGGCCCAGCAAGUGCUUGGAUUUAUCCUGUCAGGCGACUUUCCAAGAGGGAAGCAGGCUUUGGACGAGACCCUGCUGGGUUUAGCAAGAGCAGUGCAGGUGGCAGGAGACAUCGCAAACACAGUCAGCAGUAGGGAAAAUCCCAGUCCUUCUCAUGUCCAGGAGAGUUUUCUGCAGCUCCAAGCCAAGUUUUCCUGUGCUCAGCUGAAUACCAAAGGAUUCCUGGAGAAGGCAGUGUCCUUCAGGGAAUCCUGUGGGAUGGAAAAGGCCAUCCUGGAGCUGCAUGGUGUCCGGUGGGCCAUUGGCAUGUGUGUCCUGCUGGAUACCAUGGAUCAGUUCAUGGGCAGGGAUGUCCUGUUCCUGAGGGAGCUGAGCAGAGCUGUGAGGAACAAGGUUGGCCCACAGAGCUGCCUGGCUGCCGUGGCUGAGAAUUCCCUCAGGUUGCAGGAGGCUGCCCGGCUCUCCUACUUAUCCUGCCCUGGAGACCACGGUGCCAGAGAAAUCCUGGUGCUCCGGGAAGAGAUACAAGUGCUCAUGGAAGCACUGCUGGAUGUGUCCAACACCCUUCUGCUCUCCCCAUUGCCUACUGCCAGCUUGGUCAUUCGCUUUGAGCUCCUGCAUAGGGACGUGGCCCUCAGGGCCAAGGUGUUGUUGCUCCACAUGGAAAGGGUCAACAUGGAACAGCUGCAGCUCAUCCAAGAUGUGGUUGGAGCAGCUCUGUCCAACCUCACCCAAGAGGAAAGGGAGAGGAGCAAAGAAAGUUUUGAGAAGAAAGCAAAUCAGCUUAUGGCUGAUGUCCAGAGGGUCAGAAACACCCUCUGGGGUGCUCUGGAGGCUGGUGCUCAACUUACGUCACAGCCUGACCUGCUAUCCAUGGCUGACCACCUCCUGCUCCUCACGGCUGACGUGGUGGGAAGCGCCUGGCGGCACUUCCGAAGCCACCAGGACACUGGGGAUCCCCACCUGGAUGUCAUGGUGUGGUACUGGUCAGCCAAGGCACACUACCUUGCCACACAGCUCUGGGUUAUCCAUGGAAUCGACAGGGACAUCCUGCAGUGCCUCACAGAAUGUCUGCAGCGGGAGCGCUUCCCAGGAUCACCCAACAGCACAGCUGGACCCUGCCCAGCCCCAGAGCCCACUGAGGCAGCAGGAAUUCAUCCAUGCAGGAGCAGAGGAAAACACCCAGGUGGAGGAGACCACUCUGCAUCGCUGUGUCCACACAUUCCAGGUUUGGAAUCUGCUCCAUUACUGCCUCAACAGCACCAGGAUGGCCCUUCCAACAUCUCCCCUGCAAAGCAGGAGAGAGGAAACUCUGACAAGUGGCAAGGUGGCUCCAGCAGUGUGUCCCAAGUGACCCAAGACAUGGCCACGAGGAUGUUCCACAUGGCUCAGUUCCUGCGGAGGAAGGGCCCCAUUGCGAGCAAGGAGCAGUUUGUUGCCUGUGCCAGGCAAAUGGUUGCCGAUGGGCAAGUGGUUGUUAAGUUUGGGAACAUCCUCGCCAAGCACUGCCUGGACCAGAGAUGCUCCAUGGAGCUGCUCCAUAGCACUGAGCACACUCAAUCCAUCAGCAGCCAGCUCAGCAUCGUGGCCAGGUGA
Molecule: long non-coding RNA, 2708 nt
Filed under: Lonchura striata (white-rumped munia)
Lineage: Eukaryota; Metazoa; Chordata; Aves; Passeriformes; Estrildidae
Description: domestica (Bengalese finch) lncRNA (ENSLSDG00000013233.1)
Source: RNAcentral